GAUGAACGCUGGCGGCGUGCCUAAUACAUGCAAGUCGAGCGAACGGACGAGAGGCUUGCUUCUCUGAUGUUAGCGGCGGACGGGUGAGUAACACGUGGAUAACCUACCUAUAAGACUGGGAUAACUUCGGGAAACCGGAGCUAAUACCGGAUGAUAUUUUGAACCGCAUGGUUCAAAAGUGAAAGACGGUCUUGCUGUCACUUAUAGAUGGAUCCGCGCUGCAUUAGCUAGUUGGUAAGGUAACGGCUUACCAAGGCAACGAUGCAUAGCCGACCUGAGAGGGUGAUCGGCCACACUGGAACUGAGACACGGUCCAGACUCCUACGGGAGGCAGCAGUAGGGAAUCUUCCGCAAUGGGCGAAAGCCUGACGGAGCAACGCCGCGUGAGUGAUGAAGGUCUUCGGAUCGUAAAACUCUGUUAUUAGGGAAGAACAUAUGUGUAAGUAACUGUGCACAUCUUGACGGUACCUAAUCAGAAAGCCACGGUUAACUACGUG
RNAcentral lists this ribosomal RNA (497 nucleotides) under uncultured bacterium. RNAcentral describes it as "partial 16S ribosomal RNA". It matches the Rfam family "Bacterial small subunit ribosomal RNA", at positions 28 to 507 of the family's 1533-position model. The record is from RNAcentral.